GAGUUUAGAGUUGUACGGAGGCUCGGGGACGUGAGAAGAGUGAGACUGAGAGGUCGUUGCGUUGCAGCUGAAUGGAAUCCUCGCUUUGACAAGCAGAGAGUCACUUUCUUGGAGGACAGUUUACUGCUUUCAUCGGAUACUUCCCUGGCACACCAACUGGCACAAGCAAAAUAGUAUCGUUAUAACAGUCCACUAGUUGUAGUCAUGGCUAUGGCUAGCAUGAUUGUUCAGGGGUCCAGACUGUUGGCAUCAGGACUGUCCAGGGCACUGCCACGUUUCACCCAACCCUCCUGCUCUGCUACAAUGGGAAGAAACUACCAGCCGAGUAACACCAGGAGGUGGAACGUACACAGCUACGAGACCAGGCUGAAGACCAGGGGAGGCAUCGAGGUGCUCCUCAGACGCAUGUUGAAAGGAAGACACAACCUGGCCCAUUUUCACCACAGAAACAAGGUCUCACCCAAGAGCAACUAUGUUAACUAUCAGAAAAUAAUGAGGUACCAGUUGACAAAAGGGAAGCCUUUAGAUACUGUGUACAAACGGGAGUGAGGAUGACAUGCGUGAGGACUCUAAUGACCUAGCACUUUUUGACACUGUCUUACCAUGUAAGUUGUAACCAAUACAAAUUUGGUGCCAAAAGGCUACUUGAGCAGGGAGAGAGGUUCAACCAGCGACGAGAUCCAAAAUGUAUUUGUUUACAGAUGAAUCAGCAGGAUAAAGGUUUAUGUGAUCAAAUCCUGUGCUGGAAGAAAAUUGUACUGUAUCAGCCAUAUGUACUGAUGACUAUGUGAAGGCUGGCACAGGGGUACUGUACUGCCUAGAACUCAAAAAAAAAUAUAAGAAUAAGCACACAAUUUCAGGAAAUGCUAGCCUGUGAGUGUCAUAGUCUUGUUGAUAAGAUGGUACAUGUAACAUUACAUUGUAUGAUAGAAUAAAACUUGAUUACAAA
Branchiostoma belcheri (Belcher's lancelet) is the source of this 949-nucleotide long non-coding RNA. RefSeq lists it as uncharacterized. The record is from RefSeq and is a predicted model, not a curated record. The transcript is spliced from 2 exons. NCBI's taxonomy places the organism in Eukaryota, Metazoa, Chordata, Leptocardii, Amphioxiformes, Branchiostomatidae.